UAUCGCGCUUUUAAAAUACACACACGUUCCGUCACAUACGAUAGGGUCCCUUGGGGUUUCGUAUGGGGGAUGUGGAGGCUUAAC
This 84-nucleotide small RNA is filed under the name Legionella fallonii LLAP-10. RNAcentral describes it as "t44 RNA". It matches the Rfam family "t44 RNA". Rfam says of the family: This family consists of a number of bacterial RNA genes of between 135 and 170 bases in length. The t44 gene is found between the map and rpsB genes in all species in the full alignment apart from Shigella flexneri. The function of this RNA is unknown. The record is from Rfam by way of RNAcentral. Lineage: Bacteria; Pseudomonadati; Pseudomonadota; Gammaproteobacteria; Legionellales; Legionellaceae.